Molecule: long non-coding RNA, 976 nt
Filed under: Gossypium raimondii (Peruvian cotton)
Lineage: Eukaryota; Viridiplantae; Streptophyta; Magnoliopsida; Malvales; Malvaceae
Description: long non-coding RNA (GRAI_LNC003599)
Source: RNAcentral
ACAAGGCCGUGUGGCCCACACGACCUCCUACAUGAACGUGGGAGAAGAGAAGGAAAUCAUACACACCCUGGCACCAAGCUGUGUGAAGACUGGGCUCAUUUUCUUUUAAAACGCACACGGGCUGAAAAUAUCACACACGGGCAUGUAACACCCAUUUAAACCCUAAUUUCCCUUUCAUUUUGCUUUUGUCCUCUCCCCACCCCAAAAAAAAACCCUAGCUGCCGCUCACCAUCCCCCGCCACCGAUUUGCUUCCCCUUACCUGUCAGGCCACCUUCUCGAUUUCCCUUUCCUUCCCAACCGCCCCUAGCCAAACCAGAAACCUCCCUCGCCCGAACUGCCAGCCCCUACGACCACUACAACCAAUCCUCAUCUUUAACCGAUUUGGCCUAUUCGUGCCCCUACACUCUCACCCGAGCACGCCCUUCUCCUUGCCAUUUCAUCACCUUCAUGCCCUCCUUUCCUCCUUCCCCUUCCCCCUUCGAGCCAACAGCCCCUCUUUUUCAUUCCCUUUCCCCCUUUUUUUCCCUCAUUCCCAUCGCAACCUUCGCAUCUCCCCACCUUUCCCAUAACCAAACCCCCUUCCACCCUCACACCUCACGCCCUAGCUCCUUUCCCCUUGCUUGGUCACGCAAAUCCUUCAUCUUUUGAGCCACCAUCCACACUCACCCCAUACCCUUUCCCCUUUCCUCUCCCUCGCACCGACCACCGCACCCUCUAGCCUUUUUCCCUUUAUAGUCCGUUGUCCCACACCCUCCCCUAUUCUUUCCCCACCUCACCAACAACCUAAACCUCCCCUCCCCACCACAUCUCCAACCAUCGCCACCAACCACUGUCGGUCCUUCCCUUUUACCCUUUUUAUUUAUUUAUUUUUUAUUCUUAUUUUUCUAUUUUAUUAUUCUUAUUUGUUUUAUUAUGCUUAUGCUUAUGCUUACGCUUAGAUUUUAUUUUUAUUUUUAUUUUUUAUGCUAUUUAGUU